Molecule: long non-coding RNA, 2815 nt
Filed under: Citrus x clementina
Lineage: Eukaryota; Viridiplantae; Streptophyta; Magnoliopsida; Sapindales; Rutaceae
Description: Citrus clementina (C. clementina) long non-coding RNA (CCLE_LNC001143)
Source: RNAcentral
AUUAAUAAAAAAGAGUUUUUUUUUUAAUAAAUCUAAAAAUAGUUUUGAGAAAAAAGUUUUGAUGUGAUAUUUUGAAUCGAAACAGUGCACUUCGAUAAUCCGUGAACUGGUGGAUCCCAUUUAUAACACGUGGCGAAUACAUAACGGAUCUACUUUGUAAAGUUGUCGGUGCUGUGAGAUUUUGAUUUCCACUGUCUGCGGCCAAAGUCAAACUGAAAUUGAAAAAAAUAUAUAUUUCUUUAAAUUGGUUAAUUAAUAAAUCUAAAAUUAUUCUUGUGCCUUUUACAAAGCUACGACUUGCUUAAAAAUUGAUACUUGAAGCUUUGUAUAUGUUGAUCUGGUAAAAAUGUGUCUCAGAAGUUUCAUGGCUGUACGAGCGUCUUUUUUUUUAAAAAAAAAACAAUGAAUUUUAUAAAUAUCCAACAUAAAAUAAUGAUUAAAUACAUAGAAUUAUCAAAGUUAAUUCUUGGCCACUCUCAUUUCCUUUCUUAAUUAAAAAAAAAAAAUAGGUGCAAGUGGGCAUUUAUCCUAUUUGUGAGGAUACAAACUAGGAUAUGCUAUAAGAGAAUUGAUUUAAGUGGUGUUGAUAGAUAUCUAAUGUAAAUAUCAAUAACAUCUAUAAAACGUAUCAAUAAUUCAAAAAAUAAAAUAAAAUAAAGUGAACUAGAAAAAUGAAAUGACUGAAAUUUGAAUUAAAAUAUUAUGUGUGUGUAUAUAUAUAUAUGGGAGAAAUCUUGGGAUCAAUAAUAUAUUUUUAUCAGUUCUAUUGCAUUUGUGAUGAAGUUAUGAUAAUUAAUCAUGAGUAGUCAACUUAAUAACCUUACAUUCUAAAUUCAACCAUAGUGUAACGAGUUCACCGUAUGUACCAUACUAUCGUCAUUUAGACCUUAACAUAUAUCAAAUUUUGUUGAACACCUUAUUACAAGAAACAACUUAAUAUUUUAUUCUUUGGUAUUCUUAUCUUAUUCUAUUAUUUAAUCCAGCAUCCCUUAUAAUUAAGGUGUGUUGCCAAUGUUGACAACCGGGGAAGAAGAGGAAAAGAAAAAUAAAAGUCGAAAAGAACAAGUGCCAAAUGAAAUUUAACGAAGGAUUUAGAUAGAAAAUAUUUAUAAAUAAAAAUCAGUACAAGGUUCUCAAUAAAAUUUAACAUUUGUUAAGGCAUAAAAGGACAAAAGUUAUGAUACGUUCUAAUGACUUUUAAAUUAACCACUGUGUUCCCAUGUCCUGCCAAUUAUCGAAGCACAUGUAGCACGCACCACAGGCUACCGAUCGUCCAGGAUUUAGGCAUCAAUUGCGAUUUGCACAAUCGCUAUUCGCUACCUUACGCAUCAAGUAUCAUGGGCGGCCAUGACCACUGACCACACAUUUAUUGUCCCAUUGCUUCUUUCCACAUUUUUUUUCUUCUAUCUUUCGUGCAAACGCUUGACUUGAUUUUUUUAAUCAAGUUAUAUUCAUUUCCAAUUUAAGUAAAACGUAGGUUUUCAUGAAACUCAAAUCUAAAAUCCCGUGUAAAUAAUUUAAAUUGACUUUAAUAAUAUGAAACUUUAUGUUGGAUUACUUUAAAGUGUAUGUAACAACGGUUGCCCACAAUUACAAGACUACGUAAAAUGCUUCGAUAUCAAACAAAAAAUUUUCACGUGGGCAUUUUAUUUAAGAAAUAUAAUAGGUGUCGUAAUUCGAUUUAGGUUAAUUAUUAGUUAAAUUAUCGAUGGUUGUAUUGCUUCUUAGUAUAAUUCUAUGUUUUCCAUAUCACCGGCAAAUAAAUGAAAAUGCUCGUGGUUCCAUCGGAAUUGAGUUUAAUUUAAUUUUUUUUUAUAAAGGAAAUCUAUUAAUUGUUCGGUUAUUAAUCACAAUUUCCGAAUUUCAGUAGGGAAAAAAAAUAAAAAUUGUAUUAAAAAAAAAGGUGCCAAUCAGUCCCCGCAUUUCACGGGAUGGUUCAUGAAUUGAAAGGCCUGUCACUUUUGUAAACCUGGAAGAGUGUGUAGAGAAAUUGACUUCGGGUAUAAUUUGGAAAGGAAGUGGGCUCAGUGAUGGGCCAUUUAUAGCCAUGCUAACAAUGGGCGAUCUAAAGGCCGUGUGGAAACAAUUAAAAUUAUUAGGCAACUAUUUGGAAAAUUUAAAAAAAAAGAAGUGCAAUAAUAACCAAUGGAAGGCGUGUUACAUUUGAAUGGGCAAGGUUUUUGUGACAGUGUCACUAAGUUGUUUGCCGUGGGACGAUUUUAGACUUUUAUUAUUUGAGUCUUUUUUUUUUCCCUAUUUUAAUUAGUGUCAAAAUUUUAUUUGAAGUAGUUUAUUUUUCAACUCAUAGAGUACGGAUCGAAAUCAUGUCAAUUUUCGAAUCUAAGGGUAUACAUGCAUUGAAUUGAUGGAGGACUCUAAUGGUGGUGCAUCCAUGUUUCGAUGAUUUGGUGCGAGUUAUCAAUUGCUUGGGUUGAGGGCUAAUCAAGAGACUUGCUGGGAUAAUCUAGAUGGGUUGUUACGUUGUUGAGUUUUUGUUGUGUUUUUAGUUGGUACUUAGUGUUGUGUCAUGGUAUAUUGUGUCAAUUUUAUAUUAUUUUUUCCUUCCCCAAUUGAGAAAAGGGUUUUAUCUGCAUUAGUUGAUGUAAGUAGCAGUCUGUAAAAUUCCUCCCGAUGGUAACUAAGUAGGUUUAAUUAGUGAAGUCAUUUUUUCUCUUUCGGCUUGUAAUUACAUUUAUUAUUAGAAGUUGAUGAUCAUAUAUUUAUACCCCUGUGGCAUUUUAUAGUUGGGCUAUUUUUGGUCCUUAAUGGAAGGUAAGCUUUCUUUUAAAAAAAUAUAAUUGUGAUUUAGUUUUUU